UGCCGCCCAUUUACGACAGUAGCCGAAUGUAAACCAGUUUGCAUGUGGCCAAUCAAGGGGGGAUUGGGCGGCCCUUGAAAAGGUAAAAUGGUGCAAACCGAAGAGAACAAGCGGAAAAGUGACGACAAUUUGGAAAAUUCCACGGCCAAGACCAAACGCAUGGAAACGAAGUUGCGUUGUACUGAUUUGAUUGUACUGGGCCUGCCCUGGAAGACCACCGAGUUGUACUUGCGCGAGUACUUUGAAACGUUCGGUGAAGUGCUGAUGGCGCAGGUGAAGAAGGACCCGAAAACCAGCCAGUCGAAGGGCUUCGGCUUCAUUCGGUUCGCCUCGUACGAGUCGCAGAUGCGCGUUUUGGCGCAACGGCACAUGAUUGACGGUCGAUGGUGCGACGUCAAAGUGCCCAAUUCGAAGGAGGGGCUCAUCCAGCAGGUGCCCUGCAAGGUUUUCAUUGGCCGAUGCACGGAAGAUCUCACCGCCGACGAUCUGCGCGAGUAUUUCGGCAAAUUCGGCGAGGUCACCGACGUCUUCAUCCCGAAGCCGUUCAGAGCCUUCAGUUUUGUGACGUUUCUCGAUCCGGAGGUGGCGCAGAGCCUCUGCGGCGAAGACCACAUUAUCAAAGGUGUGUCGGUCCAUGUGUCAAAUGCAGCGCCCAAGGCGGAGACCCGCUCCUCGAAGCACGGCUACGAUCAUAGAGGGGGCGACAUGCGCCUGCAUGGGACCAAUCGCGGCCCCCCGGGCGGACCUGAAGGGCCCGGCGGCAUGUAUCCGCAAAGAUACAACGGCCCGCCAGGGCCCAACCAGGGCAAUUGGGGCAACCAGGGCGGCCCCAGGGGCAACCUCGACAUGCCGAACUUGCAGGCUUUAGGCAUAACGGGGCAAGGGGGCCAGAACAACAACCAAGGGGGCUGCAACCCCUUGGGGCUGGGGCUGAACUUGGGGGCGUUGCCGAUGAAUCCGGCGCUGGUGGCCGCCGCCCUUAACCAGGCGAGUUGGGGGCUGAUCGGCAACCUGCAGAACCAGCCCGAGCCCAAUUUCAACCAGGGCUUCAACAACGGCCCCAACAAUAACAGCGGGAACAAUCAGGGCGGCAGCAACCAGGGCGGGGGCGGCGGGCCGGGGUUCCUGAACUGGAUGUCGCAGGGCGGCGGCGGAGGGGGCCCUGGCGGGGGACAGGAGGGCGGCCAGUGGCCUUCCAGGCCGCCCCCCGGCCAGAACCAGGACCCCAAGGGAUUCUUGAAAUACGAAUAGAGAGCUGAUGGGGUUCGCUCGUGCUACAAACUCCCCGGAGGGGGCGGCAGCCGACUGCGCCCAAACCAGCAGAUCCGGUUAAGAGGUGAAGACCUUUAGUGGUAGUAAUAGGUAACUCUCUAUUCCUGGGGGGCGCAGCCCCUCCUCUUUAUCUCAUGUGUAUCUAGUUCUAGAAUAAGGCGAAGAGUGUUAAAUGUUCAAUUAAGUUUUUUAAGUGCAAAAGACGUGUAUGGUAAAAUGGAAGAAAGCGUGUGGAGUUUAUUGUAUAUUAGAGUGGUUCCAUGUAAUGGGCGCAGUUUUAUUUCGCGACGAGCCCCGGUAUGUUUGGGUCUCUGUCUCUGUCUAACCACCGCUUUCAAUGUGUGCGAAAUGAGCAAGAGAGUGAGGGAGGGUUUGUGCAAUAUGGACAACUGGUUUAUUGGGAAGGUUGGCGGUUGUGGGGGCGGCUGCCGGCGCGAUGGUGAGGGGCGGCGCAUCGCAAAUGGCCACGGAAGCAGGUAAACGAUUAUUUGUUCUAGAUUGGAAUAUAUUGGUUCCUUUGGAGGAG
Molecule: RNA transcript, 1798 nt
Organism: Dendroctonus ponderosae (mountain pine beetle)
Lineage: Eukaryota; Metazoa; Arthropoda; Insecta; Coleoptera; Curculionidae
Gene name: TAR DNA-binding protein 43
Exons: 10
Source: RefSeq, a predicted model, not a curated record